GUGCUUACUUUGCAGCACAUACUAAAAUUGUAAUGAUGCAGAGAAGAUUAACAGGGCCCCGUACAAAGAUUAUACAAACUCAUCAAACAUCCCAUAGAAUGUA
Molecule: small nuclear RNA, 103 nt
Organism: Cricetulus griseus (Chinese hamster)
Lineage: Eukaryota; Metazoa; Chordata; Mammalia; Rodentia; Cricetidae
Source: Ensembl